This is an RNA transcript of Bombus pascuorum, 3217 nucleotides long. It is a transcript of the gene named protoheme IX farnesyltransferase, mitochondrial, with no coding region annotated. The record is from RefSeq and is a predicted model, not a curated record. The transcript is spliced from 8 exons. Lineage: Eukaryota; Metazoa; Arthropoda; Insecta; Hymenoptera; Apidae.
AUCAUACGCUGAUGCGUUUAGGAUUUCAUUUCACAGUCUCUUUCAUUCGGUCCAACUAGACUGAGCAUGAUCUGAGCUCUGGUUCAGUGUAAUGAGUUUCUGUUCGAUUAUUUAAGCAAGCGUAGACUGUAAUAGUCUAGUAAAAUUAUUUAAAGUUUCAGCGCAAUGUGUUUUUGUUCAAAGGUUUCUUACGUAACGCGAAUUAAAAGUUGUAAAAACAAAAAUAUAUCAUGAUGAUAGAAAAAAGGAAACACUGACGAUUUUAUACGACGUAUUUUUAUCAUGUUAUUUAUUUUUUGCUCAAUCAGGAUCUCCCGUAACAUAUGUCUAUCAUCGUUGAAACUGUCUAUCGCCACAUAUUCUACCAAGGCUACAUCAAGCGUAAAGAAAUUAUCCCGUACACAGAAAUACCGAUGUUUAUUAGACACAAAAAAUGUCAAAAAUCAGAAGAUAUCAUCUAACUUUGUUACAUCGUUUGACCACCAAAAGUCUACCCAAUGUGUAAAUAUAACAAACAAUGAAAAGCAAAAAAAUUUAUAUAUGCAAAAUGAACAAGAAUGGCAGUGUAUAAAAUUAGACUCCGGCAAACUUCGAAAACAUUGUUUCAUGUUAUCUAAGAUACGGUUAACAUCUUUGGUAGUUGUAACAACCAUGGCUGGAUAUGCAUUAGCACCAGGGCCUUUCGAUGCUUUUACAUUUGUUGCAUGUUCUAUGGGUACUGGAUUAAUGUCUGCAACAGCAAACGCUAUCAAUCAAUGUUUUGAAGUUCCUUUUGAUGCGCAGAUGUCAAGAACAAAGAAUAGAGUAUUGGUUAGAGGUUACUUAACACCUGGCCAUGCAGUAAUGUUUGCAACAAUAUCUGGCUUCAGUGGAUUAUUAUUAUUAUAUACCGAAGUUAAUGGAUUAACAGCUACUUUAGGUGCAGCUAAUCUGCUUCUGUACACUCUUAUUUACACUCCUAUGAAACGCAUUAGUAUUCUAAAUACUUGGGUGGGUUCCAUAGUUGGAGCCAUACCACCAUUAAUGGGUUGGGCAUCUUGUGUCGGCAAUAUAAUAUCUCCAGGUGCUUGGAUAAUGUCUGGUCUAUUAUAUGCAUGGCAGUUUCCUCAUUUCAAUGCUUUAUCAUGGAAUUUGAGGCCGGAUUAUUCGCGUGCAGGUUAUAGAAUGAUGGCAGUCACAAAUCCAAAGCUUUGUCGUAAAACAGCAUUACGUUAUACCGCUGCAUUAAUGGGUCUUUGUUAUUUAGCACCAGUUUGUGAUGUAACAAACUGUUGGUUUGCCUUGUUAUCGACACCACUUAACGCAUAUUUUCUUUACCUUGCUUGGGAAUUUCACAAACACUCUGAUAGUAGAAGUUCACGCAAACUGUUUCAUUUUUCAUUGAUUCAUUUACCUGUUCUUAUAGUUCUUAUGCUUAUAAAUAAGAAAAAGUGGUAUAAUGAUGACAAUAGACAGAGAAAUACGAUACUUUCCGAAGAAAAAAGCGACGCAGUUUUAAUGAAAACGAUUGCAUCGAUAUUUUCGAGCACUUAAUAAACUACCUUAAAAUUUAUGUCGUGAUACUAUAGGAAUCAUAAUAAACUUUUUAGUUAAAUUUCUGUGUCCGGCACAAUCCAGGUUUUCCGUGAAACAUUUGUUUCUACAGCACUGUCGGCAUAAUUUAUGAACACAUUUGAGACUCUACGGGAGAAAAUGUAACGGCGAGAUUAAUAAAUUUUAUUCGGAUUGAUAACAAAAGAUUAUGUUUAAAAUGAAGUUUUGCAAACCACUGGAUUUGGACAAUCGCAACACAAAUCAGAUCCUCUUUUCACGAUGAUAGCUGGUCUGUUGGGGCGACGCGCUAUUCGUUUGAGCUUCUUCAAGCGUUUUCGUGAUAUCUCAUUUCCUUCUUCGUCUCUGAAUUUUCUUUUGACCGUUUCAUUUUGCUACAAAAAUUGAAUAUCGAAAUAAAAAAACAAUUAUAUCAUAUGAUAAGGGAAAGGAAGAAAAGAAUAGGGAUAGGGACACAGAUAGAAAUAGGAGUAGAAAUAGAAAUAGAAGUAGGGAUAGGAAAAGGAAAUUGUUUGCAGUAGAAUAGUGGAAACCAACCGUUUCAAUCCUUUCAAUUUCUAGCUUUUGUACAUUCUCCUCUGGAAGAUGACGUAUAUAUGGUUGGCACAACCAGGGAGGUAGUUUUAAGUUAUGAUCUGAAAUAUAGAAUGCAAGUAAGUAACAACGGUCAUACUUUGGUGGUACAUAACGAUAGUAUAAUUAAAAAUACAAAGGGAAAGUGUAUACACAGCCAGAAGGAAAGUGGAUGUAUGUAUGUCAUGCGAAUGAAAAAUGAAGUAUAUAAUGGAUUAUAAUAUAAUCGAAUAUAAUGGUAGAGCCUACGAACCGGACAUUUUUUCCUGCCAGAUUAAACGACCUUCGUGAUAAGGCAGAUACCGAUCCCUCAAAGCGUAUACGACGUUUCUGAAGGAUUCCAUGGUAGAGUUUCGGGCCAAAUUUUCUCUCUCUUCUUUAUUUUCUGCUAAACAAAGUCUACUCUCUUGUUAAAAGAACGCUGAAUGCAUAGGUCGAUAAUUUUGAAAAUUAUUUAUAUAAUGUACAUAGAGAUUGAAAAUAAACGGAAGCUACAAAUAAUUGAUUUUUCAUACGUACGUGUGUUGGAACAAUUUAAAAAGAUGACCACGAAUGUAAGAAGGAGGGGCUGGAUAACGUUCCACCAAAUCUAAAUAUUCAAGCGCUGGCUCCCAACUAGGUGGAUAACGAGCUUCGAAUAUGUACGGAUUGUAAAGGUUGCCCUCUGCUGACAUUACACCGUCAACACCGGUUUCCUCUAUACAUCUUUCGAUAUCUUGCAGACACUGUAUGUUACCAUUCGCAAAUACUGGAAUUGUGACGGCCUGUCUGAACGUUUGAAAUAACAAGAAAUUGCAACUUACUGGAAGAUAUACGCCAAAUGAAGAUACGAAGAGGAAUUGUUAAUCAUACCUGACGGCUUUGAUGUGAUCCCAAGACGCGAUACCGGUUAACGGACCUUUUUGUUCCCGAGUUCGUCCGUGCACGGUAAGUAAUCGUGCCCCAGCGGUCUCGAGCAUUUGCGCGUACUUAACAGUUUUAUCGAUCUCCGCAAAUACACGAAGCUUACAAGUAACUGGCACACGGAGACUUUUGCUCAAAGUACUUACUGUAAUAUUUCGUAAGGGGAAAAUAAAUUAGAGAUGUAACGUUA